GGGAGCCGUAUGCGGGAAAUCUGCACGUACGGUUCUUAGAGGAGUUUAUUUCAAC
Molecule: non-coding RNA, 55 nt
Filed under: Ruminococcus sp. YE71
Lineage: Bacteria; Bacillati; Bacillota; Clostridia; Eubacteriales; Oscillospiraceae
Also listed under: 1 other name
Source: RNAcentral